This 253-nucleotide ribosomal RNA is filed under the name uncultured bacterium. Its description in RNAcentral is "partial 16S ribosomal RNA". It matches the Rfam family "Bacterial small subunit ribosomal RNA", at positions 524 to 776 of the family's 1533-position model. The record is from RNAcentral.
GACAGAGGAGCCAAGCGUUGUCCGGACUGACUGGGCGUAAAGCGCACGUAGGCGGCUUGGCAAGUCGGAUGUGAAAUCCCUCGGCUCAACCAAGGAAGUGCAUCCGAAACUGCUGAGCUUGAGUACUUAAGAGGAUCGCGGAAUUCCCGGUGUAGAGGUGAAAUUCGUAGAUAUCGGGAGGAACACCAGUGGCGAAGGCGGCGAUCUGGGAAGAUACUGACGCUGAGGUGCGAAAGCGUGGGGAGCAAACAGG